GGAUGAAAGGGAAAUCUGGUUUGAUUACAUCAUCCUAUUGGAUGAGUUAUCUCGUCAUCAGGAAGGUGAUCCCUGCUUCCUCAUCUCUCCAAAUGCAUCUCUCCCAAAGCUGCUCAUGCCCCAGAUGGAGGACACAGCUUUGCUCAGGAGUAUGUGAGGAGUUUCAUUUCUCUGUCGGAGGCUCGAAAAAAUACUUUUUGAAUGUAAUUAGAUCAACAGAGAAGAUCUAAGAAUAAUGUACAAGUCAGGCAGAGAGGGCCAGGCCCGCUAGAUGGUGCCAAUUUU
RNAcentral lists this small RNA (285 nucleotides) under Tursiops truncatus (common bottlenose dolphin). RNAcentral describes it as "7SK RNA (ENSTTRG00000024305.1)". Lineage: Eukaryota; Metazoa; Chordata; Mammalia; Artiodactyla; Delphinidae. The record is from RNAcentral.